Molecule: non-coding RNA, 1021 nt
Organism: Macaca mulatta (Rhesus monkey)
Lineage: Eukaryota; Metazoa; Chordata; Mammalia; Primates; Cercopithecidae
Source: RefSeq, a predicted model, not a curated record
AUUAUUACUAUUACCCACAAUCAGUCAGGAGCACCUGAUUUGUGGUAGUGAAACUAGUGUCUGGUAUGUGGCAGUAUGUGCACGGUCUACUCCAGGGCUGCCAAUGUUUGGGGCUGAAAAACGGCAUGAGUGGAAUAAGCAAGCAGGGAGACAGCAGACGACAGGCAGUGAGGAGGGGAGAGGCUGGAGUGGAAGGAGCAGCACAACAGCCAAAGAGAAGGGAGAGACAACUGCUGCUGGAACUAAGAGCAAGAUUAGGACUCCAGUCCCACCCACCUAUUGGGUAUACACAGAGCACCAGAAUGCAUCUCAACAGUCUGUAAGCAAUGGCCUCCCCCGCGGGUUUUCCUUCUCACUCACCUGGCUGUUUGGAUCUCCAAGUAAGUUGCAUAUAUGUGGCACAAUCUUGCUUAGUGUUAAAGUCUGAGCUCCAGAGCUGAAAACAAAAGGAGUGCUUUCUUGUUAGUGAGAACUGAAGAAAGACAGACGCCUGUCUGCCCACACCUGCCCUUCCCGUGUCUCCCCAAUCCCCACCACCACCUCAUACCAAGUCUCUCUCCAUCCCAUCCACACUGGCUCCAAAGUAAAUGUGUCCGAUGGCCCCUUUGCACAGAGUUCAAAACCUAGGGUGGCUUCUCCCAGGUGAGUCUUCCUCCUGUCCCCCAGGGCUCUGGCCAAUCUGGCCCUACCCCUUUAACGCUGGGCCAGAGCACCCCGGGUCCCGCUUGCCUCACAGGUGCUGCCUCUGCAGUGCUGUUCUGUCACUGUAAGCCAACUACGAGUCACUGGAGGGACCUUGUUUAACUCUCCCAUGUGCUGUGGCAGAGCCCUCUGCUACGGUAGACAGUCAGGCAAUACCGCUGGAUGAAAAGACUGCAAUCAAAUCAGAGCAUCUACCUACUGGGGCACAUCUGAGCCAAGUACUACCCUACUGGGGCACAUUUGAGUUACAAUUUUCACCAUCACCAUCCCUGCCAUGACAAAUGGCCUUUGUGAAUAAAAAUCUCUUGGUUAAUCUGCC